This 252-nucleotide ribosomal RNA is filed under the name uncultured Bacteroidales bacterium. RNAcentral describes it as "partial 16S ribosomal RNA". It matches the Rfam family "Bacterial small subunit ribosomal RNA", at positions 524 to 776 of the family's 1533-position model. The record is from RNAcentral. Lineage: Bacteria; Pseudomonadati; Bacteroidota; Bacteroidia; Bacteroidales.
UACGGAGGAUGCGAGCGUUAUCCGGAUUUAUUGGGUUUAAAGGGUGCGUAGGCGGACUGUCAAGUCAGCGGUAAAAUACGGGGGCUCAACCUCCGCCCGCCGUUGAAACUGACGGUCUUGAGUGGGCGAGAAGUAUGCGGAAUGCGUGGUGUAGCGGUGAAAUGCAUAGAUAUUACACAGAACACCGAUUGCGAAGGCAGCUUGCUAGGCCGGAUCUGACACUGAUGCACGAAAGCGUGGGGAUCGAACAGG